UUAGGUAGAAAGUGAAAGCACACGGCUCAACCGUGUAAACAUCUUCUAAACUGGUUAACUAGAGGGCGAGAGAGGUUAUUGGAAUUUCUUGUGUAGGAGUGAAAUCCGUAGAUAUAAGAAGGAACACCGAUGGCGUAGGCAGAUAACUGGCUCGCACCUGACACUAAGGCACGAAAGCGUGGGUAGCAAACGGGAUUAGAUACCCCGGUGGUCCACGCUGUAAACGAUGGAUGCUA
This 236-nucleotide ribosomal RNA is filed under the name uncultured Candidatus Saccharibacteria bacterium. Its description in RNAcentral is "partial 16S ribosomal RNA". It matches the Rfam family "Bacterial small subunit ribosomal RNA", at positions 583 to 818 of the family's 1533-position model. Lineage: Bacteria; Candidatus Saccharimonadota. The record is from RNAcentral.